This 615-nucleotide ribosomal RNA is filed under the name Eulimnogammarus verrucosus. RNAcentral describes it as "SSU rRNA". It matches the Rfam family "Eukaryotic small subunit ribosomal RNA", at positions 22 to 553 of the family's 1831-position model. The record is from RNAcentral. Lineage: Eukaryota; Metazoa; Arthropoda; Malacostraca; Amphipoda; Eulimnogammaridae.
AGUCAUAUGCUUGUCUCAAAGAUUAAGCCAUGCAUGUCUAAGUCCAAGCUGUGUUCACACGGCGAGACCGCGGACGGCUCAUUAAAUCAGUCGUGGUCCAAAUGGGCCAGUGCAAAUCCUACUUGGAUAACUGUGGUAAUUCCAGAGCUAAUACAUGCAACUGAUAUCCCGAAGGCGGUGUUGGGGCUUGCUUGCCUUGCGCUGCGCUGCUCUGACGGAUGCUUUUAUUAGACCAAGCCGCUGAGGACUUGAGGGUUCGCGCUCUCUUGUUUGACUCGUGUGAUGGUGACUCUGGAUAACCAAAUUCUGACAAGCGCACGUACUUCUCUUCUGAGCGAGACGGCGCUGCCACUUUCGAGUGUCUGCCUUAUCAGCUAUCAACCGUUCGUUAUGCGCGACCGAUGGCUUUGACGGGUAACGGGGAAUCAGGGUUCGAUUCCGGAGAGGCAGCCUGAGAGACGGCUACCACGUCCAAGGACGGCAGCAGGCACGCAAAUUACCCAAUCCCAGCAAAUGGGGGAGGUAGUGACGAAAUCUAACGAUGCGGGCGCCCUUUCUGGGGCCCCGCAAUCGGAAUGGGCACUUUCUAAACAACCUGUUGAGAACCUACUGAAG